AGGGUCAUAGUGUUAACGGCUAGCACGGCGGUCUCCAAAACCGCAAGUGGGGGUUCAAAUCCCUCUGACCCUGCCA
RNAcentral lists this transfer RNA (76 nucleotides) under candidate division WWE3 bacterium. Its description in RNAcentral is "tRNA-Trp". It matches the Rfam family "tRNA". From Rfam's summary of the family: Transfer RNA (tRNA) molecules are approximately 80 nucleotides in length. Their secondary structure includes four short double-helical elements and three loops (D, anti-codon, and T loops). Lineage: Bacteria; candidate division WWE3. The record is from RNAcentral.